AAACCAGCACCUCAAGUGGUCAGGAGGAUUAUUGGGCCUAAAGCAUCCGUAGCCUGUUCUAUAAGUUUCCGGUUAAAUCCACUAGCUCAACUAGUGGGCUGCCGAAAAUACUGUAGAACUAGGGAGUGGGAGAGGUAGACGGUAUUCGGUAGGAAGGGGUAAAAUCCUUUGAUCUAUUGAGGACCACCUGUGGCGAAGGCGGUCUACCAGAACACGUUCGACGGUGAGGGAUGAAAGCUGGGGGAGCAAACCGGAUUAGAUACCCGAGUAGUCC
This 274-nucleotide ribosomal RNA is filed under the name uncultured bacterium. Its description in RNAcentral is "partial 16S ribosomal RNA". It matches the Rfam family "Archaeal small subunit ribosomal RNA", at positions 473 to 747 of the family's 1478-position model. The record is from RNAcentral.